This 1032-nucleotide ribosomal RNA is filed under the name Triticum aestivum (bread wheat). RNAcentral's name for it is "partial small subunit ribosomal RNA". The record is from RNAcentral. Lineage: Eukaryota; Viridiplantae; Streptophyta; Magnoliopsida; Poales; Poaceae.
GUGCAGGCAAACAAAGAUGGCUCGUUGACGGCGGACUAUGGUCAGUGCACUAGGUGGGGCGACGACGACCCAUCGGUGUUCGCGGUGACAAGAGUUUCUGGGCUCCAAGGGUAGUACCAAAUCUGCAACGGCUAUGGGACGGCAAAGGCUACACCAAUUCUCAGGAACCACUAGAGCACAUAUAUAGUGGAAAAUGACUUCAGGUUCAUCUCCAAAAGUGGGCUGACCGCGGUGAGAAUACCAGUGGGAUGGUGGAUUGCUAACGACCCGAGACCUCCUGCACCUUACGUUGGAGGUUCACUUAAAACCUUGGACAAGGCAUUCAAAUGGGCAGAGAAGUACAAACUAAGCGUCAUCAUUGACCUACACGCAGCUCCUGGGUCGCAAAAUGCCUUCGAGCACAGCUCCUCCAAGGACGACUCGUUGGACUGGGGCACCACCGACAAUAACAUCGCACAAACCAUGCAAGUGAUAGAUUUCCUCGCAUCCAGGAACGCCAAAAGCCCAAGCCUCCUUGCAGUUGAGCUAAUGAACGAGCCGUUGGCACCCGGCAUAUCCCUGAAGAACCUGAAAACGUACUAUUGCAAUGGGUACAACGCCGUAAGGAAGCACUCGUCGAAGGCCUACGUGAUCAUGCCCAACCGGCUAUUUUCCCCGGACCCAACGGAGCUCCUCGGGCUCGCUGGCGGGUUACCCGGAUCCGUCAUAGACGUGCAUUACUACGCGUUGUUCAACAACAUAUUUGAUACUUUCACCGUGCAACAGAAUAUUGAUUUCAUCAAGACCAACUAUUCGAGUGAUCUUAGCACUGUCACGAGGCAAGAUGGUCCCCUCACCUUUGUAGGAGAAUGAGUGGCUGAGUGGAAGGUUCACAAUGCAACGAAGCAAGAGUUUCAGAUGUUUGCAAAUGCACAGAUGGAUGUUUAUGGUAAGGCAACGUUUGGAUGGGCCUAUUGGACUCUCAAGAAUGUGAACAACCACUGGAGUAUGGAGUGGAUGAUCAACAAUGGAUACAUCUCCCUGAAAAGCUAG